Topomyia yanbarensis is the source of this 2463-nucleotide RNA transcript. It is a transcript of the gene named gastrula zinc finger protein XlCGF8.2DB-like, with no coding region annotated. The transcript is spliced from 3 exons. The record is from RefSeq and is a predicted model, not a curated record. Lineage: Eukaryota; Metazoa; Arthropoda; Insecta; Diptera; Culicidae.
AUACUUUACGAGAGCUAAUUCAAAUGUUUAAUUUGGCUGACAGUUUUAUAUAUGACAGCUGGAGGAAAACAAACCCCCAAGUAGUGUGAGUGAAAUCGUUUGCAUAGAACUUUAUACUGUCAAGCUCGCCCAUUUACCCAGUCCUACCCAGCAAGACAGAGUCAGUUUAGCCCAUUUACCGCGCCCUUCUGAAAAUUAUGUACACAGUUUAGCCCUUUCGCAAAUGGUGGUUGCUGAAGGGCGAAAUCACGACUGGGAUGCAAAUUGGGCGUAAGCAUUUUAUUAGUUUCUACCCACUAAAAGCACAUAGGAAUUAAAUUCUUUGUUAUAUUGUCAUAAGGUUUAACCAAUGAUGCUUCCGGAAAAACAUGGUCAUAAAGUAAUGUAUACCUACAAUAAAAACUACAUUUAGAAAAGCAUCGCCGAAUAUUGAAACUGAUUUUUCUCCAUUUGAGUAGAUUGGGACUUAGGCCCUAAUGAAAGAUCUGUGUCGAAUGGUUGGUUUCAAAAUCGUCUAAUGAAGGACGUUCGUUGGACCAAUUUGGACAACGUCCAAAUAACCGUUCAACAAACGUCCAUCGUUGGACCCGUGUUGAACGAUUUUGAAACAAUUUUUUGGACGUCUCACUGGGUAGUGACAUCACUUUUUAACCACCAGGCUAGAACCUUCUUUAAGUUUAGAAAACAUUGCUUAAAACCAUAAUAUUAUUAUUUAUAUUUGAAAUUGUGCAUGGUUUAUGUUGUAUCAAAAUUUACUAGAAGUCGUUCUGAUCCGUUUCAAAUGUGUGAAUCUGUGAAUAUGUUUAAUUACAAAAUACGUUUUCCACUCACUAUAUAACCUUAUAUAAUCACAAAUCAUCCAAGUAAGGCCGGAUGCUGAUAAAUUUAACAUGAACGAAGAAACCUGCAAAAAUUAUAACCAAACAGCGAUUGCUCUUAAAGAUCUAGUAAUAGAUGCGGUAAAAUUUGACAUAAAUUGCCAAGAAAUUAAACGAAGCCAUUUUCCUAGCGAAGAGCGUCAAUUUGAACUCACUACACCGACCACUGAUGGUACCAGCACCGAAAAUCAUUGUCGGGUUUGUGAUAAACUGUUUUCCUCCAAACGUCAGCUUGCCGACCAUCGACGAAUACACAACAGUGCGAGGCGACACAAGUGUGCAUUUUGCGGUAAAUUGUUUAUGCAUAAAAGUAUUCUAGCAAUACACGAACGCAUCCAUACCGGUGAGAAACCAUACACUUGCGUUAUUUGUGGCAAAGACUUUGGCCGUUCAAAUGUCCUUGAUGACCAUAUGCGCAUUCAUACCGGCGAAGAAUGUUGCAGCUGCAAGGUAUGCGGUAAAGGCUUUAUUCAUCUCUCUAGUUUGAAGUACCACAUGCAAGUUCACACUGAAGAAAUGCAAAGGUGCACCGUUUGUGGUAGAGAAUAUCGCCACGCGGCGUCACUGAAAAUGCACAUGAAGAUACACACUGAUGAACCAUUGUUCAAAUGUGAUGUCUGCGGCCAAAAAUGUAUAAGCCAGUCCAAACUUCUUGGGCACAUGCGUACUCAUACCGGCGAAAAACCCUUCAAGUGUGAAAUUUGUGGCAAAGAAUAUUCCCAACAGAGCACACUGGUCUGCCACAUUCGAACGCAUACCGCCGAAAAGCCAUACAAAUGCGAGGUGUGUGGCACACUAUUCAACUACAGUCACUGUCUCACGAGACACGCCGAACUUCAUCGGGUCCCCCAGGAGCACAAAUGUGACGUCUGUGGUAAAGUGUUCCGUCUCAGUAGACAUUUGGCGAAACACAGCCGCACCCAUUCCAAGCAGCUGCCCUAUUCUUGCCGGUUCUGCGGUAAAGGAUGCUCGGAAAGGUAUGUGCUUGAUAUACACGAACGUGUCCACACUAGAGAACGACCGUUCGAAUGUGACCUGUGCGGGAAAAAAUUCGUCAGUGGCAAUACAUUAACGCAGCAUAAGCGCCAUCACAGCAAGCGGAAAGGGAAGCUCACGCUAGAAAGCGGUUAGUAUUGAUGCUUGGGAUGCUGAGUAUGUCAUGACGUGAAGGAUCACCUCUUCGUAUUCUGGAUAGGGUCGCCAGAUUGGAUUUCACUAACUGGCGCGAUGCAAAAAGAUUCACAAUUUGUAGCGAAAAAAAAGAUCAAUGGCAUAGUCGACUCCCUAAGGAUUAGAAGAGACCAAACAAUAGUGAUUGUUUUCAAGGAUGCUGUGAUUUAUCCAAUUAAACGACACUAACCAUGAAUGAAUGAAUAAGAUAUAUUUCAUCAGGAACGUAUGGUAUUUUACAUACAUACGUAGAGGAAGUCAAAGCUGUACGUAGUUUGCUUCAAUUGAUUCAAUUUGAAUUCUGUUAGUACGCAGUCUAUCACGACGGCUUUAGCCGGAAUGUACACGCGAUAUUCGUGGAUAAUUCGCAAAGGAAAAAUACGGAAGAAAGUGAUGCAUGCAAGAAGGUAAGAGA